UCCAUGUAUAUCUGCACACCAGAAG
RNAcentral lists this non-coding RNA (25 nucleotides) under Cricetulus griseus (Chinese hamster). Lineage: Eukaryota; Metazoa; Chordata; Mammalia; Rodentia; Cricetidae. The record is from RNAcentral.